Molecule: unclassified non-coding RNA, 220 nt
Filed under: Hevea brasiliensis (rubber tree)
Lineage: Eukaryota; Viridiplantae; Streptophyta; Magnoliopsida; Malpighiales; Euphorbiaceae
Source: RNAcentral
AAUAUCAUAUGGGAUUUCUUCAAAAAAUGAUAAUUUAGAUCUAAAUGAGCUAAAAACUGAACAUAAAUAAGUAGACUAAUUGACGAGAUAUCACAUGUAGAAAACAAAGAAUAACGAUUGCCACAAGCUUCCAGGCUCCGUUUCAUAUCGGCAGGCCUUCUCAACGUACUUAGAAUCCUUUAGGCACCAACAGGAAAAAUUCAGUUGGAAAAGCAAUGAA